CUUGUAAAACAGAGUGAAUGCAAUCACACUUACAAGUUUCAUUGCUCUAGGAGAAAAGGGAAAAUUUUUCUAAGGUAUUAAAGGUCCCAGCAAGUAGCCUAGCUAUGUGUUUGUGUGUGUUUAGCAUUGUUGUAUCCAUGAGUAUAGCUUGUAAUUCUUGAUAUAUAUGUAAAUUGUAGCUAUUGCAGUGGUUUUCAACUUUCUUUAUAUCUGUAUUUGGAAGAUAUCUUGAGAUUUCAUGAGAGCCGCAAUUUUCGUUCAUAUUUGUACUCACAUGAACUGUGUUAAGUAUCUGGUUGCCUAUUUUGGCAUUAUAGACGAAGGUUAUUGUGAGGAUAUAGACUUUGAUCCCAAUUAUUUUCUUCCUGGAUAAAGAUAUCAUGAUUUAUUACAAUUUUUAUAAUAAAUUUUAAUUAAUUUAA
This is a long non-coding RNA of Amphimedon queenslandica, 422 nucleotides long. RefSeq lists it as uncharacterized. The transcript is spliced from 2 exons. The record is from RefSeq and is a predicted model, not a curated record. Lineage: Eukaryota; Metazoa; Porifera; Demospongiae; Haplosclerida; Niphatidae.